AUUGAACGCUGGCGGCAUGCCUUACACAUGCAAGUCGAACGGUAACGGGCCUUCGGGUGCCGCCGAGUGGCGAACGGGUGAGUAAUACAUCGGAACGUGCCCGAUCGUGGGGGAUAACGAGGCGAAAGCUUUGCUAAUACCGCAUACGAUCUACGGAUAAAAGCAGGGGACCGCAAGGCCUUGCGCGGACUGAGCGGCCGAUGGCAGAUUAGGUAGUUGGUGGGAUAAAAGCUUACCAAGGCGACGAUCUGUAGCUGGUCUGAGAGGAUGAUCAGCCACACUGGAACUGAGACACGGCCCAGACUCCUACGGGAGGCAGCAGUGGGGAAUUUUGGACAAUGGGCGCAAGCCUGAUCCAGCCAUGCCGCGUGCAGGAUGAAGGCCUUCGGGUUGUAAACUGCUUUUGUACGGAACGAAAAGCCUUCUUUUAAUACAGGAGGGUCAUGACGGUACCGUAAGAAUAAGCACCGGCUAACUACGUG
RNAcentral lists this ribosomal RNA (482 nucleotides) under uncultured bacterium. Its description in RNAcentral is "partial 16S ribosomal RNA". It matches the Rfam family "Bacterial small subunit ribosomal RNA", at positions 30 to 507 of the family's 1533-position model. The record is from RNAcentral.